This 403-nucleotide ribosomal RNA is filed under the name uncultured bacterium. RNAcentral describes it as "partial 16S ribosomal RNA". It matches the Rfam family "Bacterial small subunit ribosomal RNA", at positions 28 to 526 of the family's 1533-position model. The record is from RNAcentral.
GACGAACGCUGGCGGCGUGCCUAAUACAUGCAAGUCGAACGCAGUGGGGACGGGUGAGUAACACGUGGGUAACCUCCCAUCAGAGGGGAUAACACUUGGAAACAGGUGCUAAACCGAUACUGAUGGAUGAACCCGCGGUGCAUUCGCUAGUUGGUGAGGUAACGGCUCACAAAGGCCACGAUGCAUAGCCGACCUGAGAGGGUGAUCGGCCACACUGGGACUGAGACACGGCCCAGAGUCCUACGGGAGGCAGCAGUAGGGAAUCUUAGGCAAUGGACGCAAGCCUGAUACAGCCAUGCAGCGUGUAUGAAGAAGGUAUUCGGGUUGUAAAGUACUUUCAGCGGGGAAGCGUUACCCGCAGAAAAAGCACCGGCUAACUCCGUGCCAGCAGCCGCGGUAAUAC